AUAAAAGUUAACCCAAGACAGUAGGUGGAUUAAUCCAUAAAUCCUACCGAGGUUAGAAAUAAUAUGAACGGUUUAAGUUUUUGUUAUUCUACCUUGGUAGGUAACAAAAACUUUUUUAUGUU
This 122-nucleotide small RNA is filed under the name pig gut metagenome. RNAcentral describes it as "Ribosomal protein L10 leader". It matches the Rfam family "Ribosomal protein L10 leader". Rfam says of the family: This family is a putative r-protein leader autoregulatory structure found in B. subtilis and other low-GC Gram-positive bacteria. It is located in the 5' untranslated regions of mRNAs encoding ribosomal proteins L10 and L12 (rplJ-rplL). The record is from RNAcentral.